UUGCUUUUGAGGGGAGAUGACUACACCUUGAACAUCGCAGCAGGAUGUGUAUGGUUACUUUUAGUGUUAGGUCGAGAAGGGCUCUCUUCCUCUCCUCUCCUCUCCUGUGUACACAGGGAGGCAGCAGGCUGGAGACUAGGCUACGCUGGCUGGGGCCUUUGGAGGGUUCUCUCUCCACCAGAAGCCCACCGCCAUAUUGUGACCUUCAGCCAGAGCAGACUGAAUCAGCAACAGUAGGAACAGAUUGAGUGACAGACACACCUGCAGAACAAGGAGAGGAGCCAGCAAACAACUACAGCUUCCAACAUCACACACAAAACAACAACCCUUUAAUAUUGUCCUCCUGCCAUCAUUCCCCUCUCCCAAAAUACACGGUGCCAUGGUAAUGGUGCACUCAUGGUUCCACUGGUCUAAAUGGAAUCUUUGGGACGUCCCAACUAUGACAUCACCCCAUUGAAGUUUAAUUUAAAAUGGUUAAAGUUAGGGUUAGGGUUAGGCUAAGGUUUGCACACAUCUCACCAAAUGUGGAUCUCCCGUUUGUCUACCAACUGUUCAGCGUGCUGUUGAUGUUUAACUGCAGACAUUUUCACUCGAUUCUACAUGUAAAAUUGGAUUGCACUCGGUUCGCAAGUACUCUCGGUAGGCAAAUGCUAUUGCUGUGUUCAAGCCCUUAGGAUUAGGAACUUUAUGUUCCUAGGGUUAGGGCACAGAGUUUCUAAACCCAGAAGCGCAACAUCGCGAGACUUCCGGGAAAACUUGCGAAACAGACUACAGUAGGCUUGAGUUUGGGGUUUAAAAAGUCAAUGAGACUUUUAGUUGCACAUUUUCUUGAAAUCUAAAGGCACAACUUAGAUUCGCUCCAAAGUCUUAAAUAGUUGUUAUUAUUACUCCAACCUCGUGAAAGUGACAAACUGACACGUUUUCAUUUUCGGCAAAAACAACUGUCACGUUCUGACCUUUAUUUCCUUUGUUUUGUAUUUAUUUAGUAUGGUCAGGGCGUGAGUUGGGUGGGCAGUCUAUGUUUGUUUUUCUAUAAUUUGGGUAUUUCUAUGUUUCGGCCUAGUAUGGUUCUCAAUCAGAGGCAGGUGUCAUUAGUUGUCUCUGAUUGAGAAUCAUACUUAGGUAGCCUGGGUUUCACUGUGUGUUUGUGGGUGAUUGUUCCUGUCUCUGUCUUUGCACCAGAUAGGACUGUUUAGGUUUUUCAUGUUUAUUGUUUUGUAGUGUUCAUGUGUACAUUUACAUAUUAAAAGAACCAUGGACACUUACCACGCCGCAUAUUGGUCCUCUGAUACUUUUCACCUCUCCUCUUCGGAAGAAGAGGAGGAAAGCCUUGACAACAACUUCAUAUCAAAGGUGCCUUUGAUGGCCUGCACAUGUGCAGUUCGGCG
This 1388-nucleotide long non-coding RNA is filed under the name Oncorhynchus kisutch (coho salmon). RNAcentral describes it as "lncRNA (ENSOKIG00005014116.1)". Lineage: Eukaryota; Metazoa; Chordata; Actinopteri; Salmoniformes; Salmonidae. The record is from RNAcentral.